AUUAAUGGCUACCACUUGUUGAACCUAGAGGGUGUCUGUGAACUUGUUGAACACUGCCUUAUUAGAACAGAAGUCUCCAGUGGACCAUGAACUCUGCAUAGCUGGGACUCUGAGCUUACUUCUUACUCACAAAAUCUGCAGGGCUCUCAAAUUCAUGUUUAAAAUGCAAGCUACUGACAAGGAACGGGAU
Molecule: long non-coding RNA, 190 nt
Filed under: Theropithecus gelada (gelada)
Lineage: Eukaryota; Metazoa; Chordata; Mammalia; Primates; Cercopithecidae
Description: lncRNA (ENSTGEG00000003543.1)
Source: RNAcentral